UGCAUUAGUAGCGGCGAGUGAGCGGCAAUAGCUCAAAUUUGAAAUCUGGCGCCUUCGGUGUCGAGUAGUAAUUUGAAGAAGGUAUCUUUGGUUUUGGCUCUUGUCUAUGUUCCUUGGAACAGGACGUCACAGAGGGUGAGAAUCCCGUGCGAUGAGAUGCCCAAUUCCAUGUAAAGUUCCUUCGACGAGUCGAGUUGUUUGGGAAUGCAGCUCUAAGUGGGUGGUAAAUUCCAUCUAAAGCUAAAUAUUGGCGAGAGACCGAUAGCGAACAAGUACUGUGAAGGAAAGAUGAAAAGAACUUUGAAAAGAGAGUGAAAAAGUACGUGAAAUUGUUGAAAGGGAAGGGCUUGAGAUUAGACUUGGAAUUUUCCAUUUUUGGAGCUUUCCGGGCCAGCAUCAGUUUGGAUGGCAGGAUAAUUGCGUUGGAAAGUAACACUACUUCGGUGGUGUAUUAUAGACUUCGUCGAUACUGCCUAUCUAGACUGAGGACCGCGUCUUUGACUAGGAUGCUGGCGUAAUGAUCUUAAGCCG
RNAcentral lists this ribosomal RNA (531 nucleotides) under Yamadazyma friedrichii. RNAcentral's name for it is "LSU rRNA". It matches the Rfam family "Eukaryotic large subunit ribosomal RNA", at positions 76 to 647 of the family's 3401-position model. Lineage: Eukaryota; Fungi; Ascomycota; Pichiomycetes; Serinales; Debaryomycetaceae. The record is from RNAcentral.